AGUGAACGCUGGCGGUAGGCCUAACACAUGCAAGUCGAACGGCAGCACAGUAAGAGCUUGCUCUUACGGGUGGCGAGUGGCGGACGGGUGAGGAAUCCAUCGGAAUCUACUUUUUCGUGGGGGAUAACGUAGGGAAACUUACGCUAAUACCGCAUACGACCUACGGGUGAAAGCAGGGGAUCUUCGGACCUUGCGCGAUUGAAUGAGCCGAUGUCGGAUUAGCUAGUUGGCGGCGUAAAGGCCCACCAAGGCGACGAUCCGUAGCUGGUCUGAGAGGAUGAUCAGCCACACUGGAACUGAGACACGGUCCAGACUCCUACGGGAGGCAGCAGUGGGGAAUAUUGGACAAUGGGCGCAAGCCUGAUCCAGCCAUACCGCGUGGGUGAAGAAGGCCUUCGGGUUGUAAAGCCCUUUUGUUGGGAAAGAAAAGCAGCAGGUUAAUACCCCGCUGUUCUGACGGUACCCAAAGAAUAAGCACCGGCUAACUUCGUG
Molecule: ribosomal RNA, 492 nt
Filed under: uncultured bacterium
Lineage: Bacteria
Description: partial 16S ribosomal RNA
Rfam family: Bacterial small subunit ribosomal RNA
Source: RNAcentral